AGAGUUGAUUAUGGCUCAGGACGAACGCUGGCGGCAUGCCUAACACAUGCAAGUCGAACGGAAGUAGCAAUACUUAGUGGCGAACGGGUGAGUAACACGUGAGCAACCUGCCUUAUACUCAGGGAUAACAGUUGGAAACGACUGCUAAUACCGGAUAAGACCACACUAUGGCAUCAUAGAGGGGUCAAAGUGCUUUAGCGGUAUGAGAUGGGCUCGCGUCCAAUUAGCUAGUUGGUGGGGUAACGGCCCACCAAGGCGACGAUUGGUAGCCGACUUGAGAGAGUGAUCGGCCACACUGGAACUGAGACACGGUCCAGACUCCUACGGGAGGCAGCAGUGGGGAAUAUUGGGCAAUGGAGGAAACUCUUACCCAAGCAAUGCCGCGUGAGUGAUGAAGGUCUUUGGAUUGUAAAGCUCUUUGAUUGGGGAAGAAUAAAUGACGGUACCCAAAGAACAAGCCCCGGCUAACUAUGUGCCAGCCGCCGC
This 486-nucleotide ribosomal RNA is filed under the name uncultured bacterium. RNAcentral's name for it is "bacterial SSU rRNA". It matches the Rfam family "Bacterial small subunit ribosomal RNA", at positions 8 to 518 of the family's 1533-position model. The record is from RNAcentral.